This 465-nucleotide ribosomal RNA is filed under the name uncultured Klebsiella sp. RNAcentral describes it as "bacterial SSU rRNA". It matches the Rfam family "Bacterial small subunit ribosomal RNA", at positions 338 to 795 of the family's 1533-position model. The record is from RNAcentral. Lineage: Bacteria; Pseudomonadati; Pseudomonadota; Gammaproteobacteria; Enterobacterales; Enterobacteriaceae.
CCUACGGGUGGCUGCAGUGGGGAAUAUUGCGCAAUGGGCGCAAGCCUGAUGCAGCCAUGCCGCGUGUGUGAAGAAGGCCUUCGGGUUGUAAAGCACUUUCAGCGGGGAGGAAGGCGGUGAGGUUAAUAACCUCAUCGAUUGACGUUACCCGCAGAAGAAGCACCGGCUAACUCCGUGCCAGCAGCCGCGGUAAUACGGAGGGUGCAAGCGUUAAUCGGAAUUACUGGGCGUAAAGCGCACGCAGGCGGUCUGUCAAGUCGGAUGUGAAAUCCCCGGGCUCAACCUGGGAACUGCAUUCGAAACUGGCAGGCUAGAGUCUUGUAGAGGGGGGUAGAAUUCCAGGUGUAGCGGUGAAAUGCGUAGAGAUCUGGAGGAAUACCGGUGGCGAAGGCGGCCCCCUGGACAAAGACUGACGCUCAGGUGCGAAAGCGUGGGGAGCAAACAGGAUUAGAUACCCGAGUAGUC